GGCUGGUCCGAAGGUAGUGAGUUAUCUCAAUUGAUUGUUCACAGUCAGUUACAGAUCAAACUCCUUGUUCUACUCUUUCCCCCUUCUCACAACUGCACUUGACUAGUCAAAA
This 112-nucleotide Y RNA is filed under the name Aotus nancymaae (Ma's night monkey). RNAcentral's name for it is "Y RNA (ENSANAG00000011892.1)". It matches the Rfam family "Y RNA". Rfam says of the family: Y RNAs are components of the Ro ribonucleoprotein particle (Ro RNP), in association with Ro60 and La proteins. The record is from Rfam by way of RNAcentral. Lineage: Eukaryota; Metazoa; Chordata; Mammalia; Primates; Aotidae.